Molecule: RNA transcript, 1772 nt
Organism: Cuculus canorus (common cuckoo)
Lineage: Eukaryota; Metazoa; Chordata; Aves; Cuculiformes; Cuculidae
Gene name: uridine phosphorylase 1-like
Exons: 3
Source: RefSeq, a predicted model, not a curated record
AAUUUCUGCUUUCAUUUCAGCAUGGUAUGGGCAUUCCUUCUAUUUCAAUCGUGUCGCAUGAGCUGAUCAAACUGUUGUAUCGUGCCAAGUGUUCCAACGUAACCACUGUUUGUAUUGGCACUUCUGGUGGAAUAGGUCUGGAGCCAGGCUCAGUGGUUAUAACCCGGCAGUGUGGAGGAACCCCCUUCAAACCUCAAUUUGAAGAGGUUGUUCUGGGAAAGACCGUACUUCGCAGUACAAACCUGGAUGAACAGCUGGCUAAGGAACUGAUGCAGUGCGGGAAAGAAAUCGGUCGAUUCCAUACAGUCAUUGGAAACACGAGGUGCCCUUUGGAUUGCAGUGGAGCCAGGUCUGGAGCACCUUCAAAAGAGACAGCCCUGCUUGCCAGGCAGAGACCGUAUCCCCAUCCCGGGACAGCUGCUGGGACGUCUCAUCUUUUACUGCUUUUGCAAGAGCUGGGAGAUCAGAGGGGGGGCUUUGGAUGCUCUUCAUUACCUCUUCAGAUUCUUCCAGCAGCCAAACUGUCAGAGGAGCUGGGGUGGGCUGCCUCCCUCCACACACACAGACCUUUCCUCGUGUGCCUGCUUCUCUCGCUGAGUAUUGCAAGGGAGUUCUCUGGUGCUUCUGGAAGUCAUGCAUGAAAGUCUGCCAGAUACCAGACCUCCUUGGCCCCACACACCCCCAAGUCCUUCUCCUCAAGGCUGCUCUCCAUCACAUCGUCCCCCAUCGUGUACUGAAAACAGGGAUUGCCCCGACCCGGGUUUAGGACCUUGCCCUUGGCCUUGUUGAAUGUCAUGAGGUUCUCGUAGCCCCACUUCUCCAGCCUGUCCAGGUCCCUCUGGAUGACAUCCCGUCCUUCCGGUGUGGCAACUGCACCACUCAGCUUGGUGUCCUCACCAAGGGAAAGAGCAAAGCUGAUGCACUUGCAGCAGCGCUGGCUGUUGUCCUUCAACAUUUGGACUUUAUCCUCAGCUGAGUGACUGCUCCCAGGGAGUGGUGUUUGACAGCCUGGAGACCCUCUUUGCACGCAACAUGGUGUCUGCUCUCCUCUGCCUGCUUAAAGCUGUCAGAAAACAACCUCAUAUCUAUUUUGUGAACCUGUCCCAGGAUUAUGCUUCUUGGAAAGCCGGGGAGGCAGCGGUGAAAGAUGAGAAAGGUGAGGCUCUUCGUCACCUUGCCUCUCAACUAUUCUUUCUCAAGCCCUCAAGCUUUCCCAUGUGUAUUUCUGUUUCCAGCAGAGCUUGCAGGAAAUGUUUUUAUUAAUUCUUCAACCUUCCACAUCAGUGUAGGCAGCACUCAGCUGGUGACUGCUUGCAGCUGUAAGGCUGACCUUACUCUCUAGCGUUAGAGCUCGGGCAAGCAAUUGUGGCUCAUUAAUUAGCCACCAGGCAGCCGUCCACAGCAUUGGUGCAGGUGAGCCAGGCAAGGACAGGAGCUCGCUGACUGGGGGAAGUUUGGGGGAUGAUUUGAAUUUGGAGCAGGGCUGUGAGCUCCCCACUGUCUCCUGGUAGGAUGAUGGGCUGGGCUUAAUAACUCAGCUUAAUAACAACAUACGACAAGUUCAACGUGAGAGGAAAAAGAGGUCUGUAAGCCUUCCAGGGGUAAAUCCCCAAGACAGUAUCCGUGAAGGGUUUCCCUGCUCCGGAGACCUUGGUUGAGCUCAGAGAGGUUACAGAGCAAAGGCCGCAAGUGUCUAGGACAAGUGGCACAAGGACGGCUGGGUCCACCUCCAUGGUUCCCAGCAGAGGAAGGAUGAGAACCUCUUCCCUCUG